UACAGAGGGGGCCAGCGUUAUUCGGAAUUAUUGGGCGUAAAGGGCGCGUAGGCGGCCAUGCGUGUCUUCCGUGAAAUCCCUCGGCUUAACUGAGGACGUGCGGAAGAAACUGCAGGGCUAGAGUCCUGGAGAGGAAGGUGGAAUGCUUGGUGUAGAGGUGAAAUUCGUAGAUAUCAAGCGGAACACCGGUGGCGAAGGCGGCCUUCUGGACAGUGACUGACGCUGAGACGCGAAAGCGUGGGGAGCAAACAGG
This 253-nucleotide ribosomal RNA is filed under the name uncultured bacterium. RNAcentral describes it as "partial 16S ribosomal RNA". It matches the Rfam family "Bacterial small subunit ribosomal RNA", at positions 524 to 776 of the family's 1533-position model. The record is from RNAcentral.